Long non-coding RNA from Anopheles coustani, 634 nucleotides. RefSeq lists it as uncharacterized. The transcript is spliced from 7 exons. The record is from RefSeq and is a predicted model, not a curated record. NCBI's taxonomy places the organism in Eukaryota, Metazoa, Arthropoda, Insecta, Diptera, Culicidae.
GGAAAACAAGAUAUCCACCGUAUUGUGAGUUUGGUGACAAGGCGAUAAAGCUAAUUCAGCUCGUGAAUCUAGCAGUUCUACGCGUCGGAGGAUCAACUAUGCAAUAAGGUGAUGCUGCAUUAAAGCGAAAGUACUGGGCGCAACAAAAGCGAUGCUGUGAAAAUAUUUGUUGAGGUUCUUCUUGUAUCAGGUUAUCAACAGGUCUCUUGGGCAUCGUUCACACGUUAUUUCUUCGGGCAGCUAACAGGGUGGCAUACUUACUUAAAACGUAUGUUUUAAACGUGUGUGAAUAAGUUUUACUUGAUGUGCUGCGUGCAACAAUCAGAUCAUCCACCGUGUAUUACAUCAACUCAUGUACGAUGUACCUGGAAUGUUUGACCUAAUAGACAAAACCACAUACGAUUCGAACGAUACGAUAAAUAUAGUAAACGAACGUGACGAGGAGAUCUAUGGAUAAUUUCUUCAUCGGUGCGCGUUUGAAAUUUUGGGAAUGACCAAAUGUCUGGUACUUUCAACAGCACCACUUGGUGAUCCUCAACAUCAUCAUAGCGGAUGGACGGGCAGAUCAUAUGAUUUACCAUUGGAUGCCGAAGAUCGCGUAAUUCAACUGUAGUGUAGCAACCAAAAAAUCGGU